UACGUAUGGUGCAAGCGUUAUCCGGAUUUACUGGGUGUAAAGGGAGCGUAGACGGCAUGGCAAGCCAGAUGUGAAAGGUAUGGGCUCAACCCGUAAACUGCAUUUGGAACUGUCAGGCUAGAGUGUCGGAGAGGUAAGUGGAAUUCCUAGUGUAGCGGUGAAAUGCGUAGAUAUUAGGAGGAACACCGGUGGCGAAGGCGGCUUACUGGACGAUAACUGACGUUGAGGCUCGAAAGCGUGGGGAGCAAAC
RNAcentral lists this ribosomal RNA (250 nucleotides) under uncultured prokaryote. Its description in RNAcentral is "partial 16S ribosomal RNA". It matches the Rfam family "Bacterial small subunit ribosomal RNA", at positions 524 to 773 of the family's 1533-position model. The record is from RNAcentral.